Molecule: ribosomal RNA, 253 nt
Filed under: uncultured bacterium
Lineage: Bacteria
Description: partial 16S ribosomal RNA
Rfam family: Bacterial small subunit ribosomal RNA
Source: RNAcentral
UACAGAGGUCCCAAGCGUUGUUCGGAUUCACUGGGCGUAAAGGGUGCGCAGGUGGUCGGGUAAGUCUGACGUGAAAUCCCGCAGCUUAACUGCGGAAUGGCAUUGGAUACUAUUCGGCUAGAGGGUUGGAGGGGGGACUGGAAUUCUCGGUGUAGCAGUGAAAUGCGUAGAUAUCGAGAGGAACACCAGUGGCGAAGGCGAGUCCCUGGACAAUUCCUGACGCUGAGGCACGAAAGCUAGGGGAGCAAGCAGG